Tachysurus vachellii is the source of this 2556-nucleotide long non-coding RNA. RefSeq lists it as uncharacterized. The transcript has 2 exons. NCBI's taxonomy places the organism in Eukaryota, Metazoa, Chordata, Actinopteri, Siluriformes, Bagridae. The record is from RefSeq and is a predicted model, not a curated record.
AGUGUGUUUUGUCGUCUGACUCUAUCUACCGAGCCGUUUUUGUUCGCUGUCGUUCAGCUACGUCCUGGUUUUCACCUGAUAUGAGGCACAGAGGCUCUAUUCACUUCCUGAUUGGGUGUCUGUUGCUAAGCGACCAGCCGUCCAACAGAAAGCUCCUGGUUGAUCUUUUGCUGCUCUGGUGAUCCUGCUGUGGAGACACUUUACUCUCCGUAUGCUUUAUUAUCCAUGAAUCUGCUCCUGACAUUCUGACCUGUUCUUUAUCACUGUGGCUCAUCAUCUGGUUGCUGAUUUGUGGUCUCUACGUCAUUAAACGUCUUCACUCUUGAGUCCUGGUUGUUACAACAUCCUUUAUUCAUUCUCUCUUUUCUGUCUUUUUUUCAUUUCGUGCUCAAUUUUUGUUUUGUUUUUUUCACAUCACACACAGCAAUCAACAGUCGCAUGACUCACUCAGAACUCGCUCAAUCUUUAUUUGUCUAAAAUAAACCCCAGCUGAAAUUCCACUUCAAUUCUAUUCAAAUAAAAAUAUUAUUGCAUUUUUAAAAGAACACGUAAUCCUCCUCUUUACUGAUUAUUAAUUAUUAUUCUUAAUUAUUAUGAUUUUUAUUAUAAUUCUUCUUCUUCUUCUUGUUAAUCUUGUGAUGUUCUAAUGUGCCGUGUUCUUCAGUAAGCGAGCAAGACAGAGAUGAAGCUGAAGCAGGAUCAUGUCCUGAACGUGUGUUUAUGCUGCAGAGCACGGUGUGUGUGUGUGUGUCUAUGUGUGCGUGUCUGUGUGUGUGUGUGUGCAUCAGGUUCCUCUGGAGGUGAACCUAGUGUGUUUCAGCCGUGUCGCAGCUUGUGGAGUUUCUGAGCCAUGUUCUCCAACUCGUUCUCCAUCACAGCCAAACUCUCCAUCUCAGCGUCCUGCAGCACAACACAAGAACAUCAAAACGUUCCUCAAGGGUUCUUUUGAUAAACAAUAAAGCGAGAACUGUAAUGUCUUUCUCAAAUUAAAAUUUUCUUUCUGUUAUUCAAUGCUUCUAUUCUUCAUUUUUGCUUCUUUUCUCUUUCAUGUUCUUACUUUUUUCUGCUUACAUGUUUUUUUCACUUUCUCUCUCACGUUCAGUUUUUCCUUCAGUUUACCUGCGUAUGAAAUGCAGAUCUAGUUGAUUAGUUUUGUAUAUGUUUUAGCUGUAUUCAUUCAUUAUGUGAUUAAUCAGUGUGUUGAAUGAACUCAGUUCAGGCUGAUGACAUCAUCAUCAUCAUCAUCAUCAUCCUCAGUGCUGGAGCAGGAGAUGUGAUGUAAGCUCCUCACCCUCUCUAAUAUCAUUACCUCAGUCUUCUUGGUAGCGCUGCCUUCCUCCAUGUCUCUGUGCUCCUCAGGUUCUCUUCCUGCCAUCAUCUGGAGCUCCUCCUCCUCAGGACUCUUCCACGCCUCCUUGGAGUGGUGCGGCGCCUCCUGCUGGCCGUAAGCCCUGCGCUGGGCCAGCUCUCUGCUCCGACUCCAGUCUCUCUGCUGCCUCUCAACCUCCUCUUCCUCCUCCUCUUCCACAUGGCUGUGAUCUGGAGCUCCAGCUGCUCCUGCCUCAUCUACUGAAGGAAACAAAUCAUUAGUUGAUCUUUUUUAACUAAUUUAAGGAUGGUUUAAAUGAUUUAAACACGUUUUUGUAUAAUAAUAAAAAGUGACAUCACCUUCUUCCUCUUCAUCAAUGUUAUCUGUUUUCUUCAUCACAGCAUGUUCCUUCUUCUCAUCUUCCUCGUGGCUGGUGAUGAUGUCAUUCUCCUGCGAAUUGUGUUCCUUCUCCUUCUCUGCUCCUCUCUCCUUCAGCAAAUUUCCCGGAGUCAAGACCAUCAGCAUGGACUGAUCUGUCAGGAGGAAGCAGGAUGAUAGAGACAGAGGAACCACAAAAGCUUUCUAAAGAUAAACACAUUGUUUUAUUUUUUUUACACAUUUCUGGAUAAACUGCAUGUUUCUCUCUGACGGAAACCAGGACACUGUGAUGUGUUUGCAUGAGUGUGUGUGAUCUACAGUAAAGGAAAAUUAGAUGUUGCUUUUUACCUGCAGGCUCCUGGAGAUCUGGGGUGUGGUCAGGACCUUCCUCAAGUCCCUUCUCAGGCCUCUCAUUGGCUCCUGGGAGAAGAGAAGGUGGAGUGAAACACAUGUAAACUUAACUGUAAUAAAAAGUCUGAGGAAUUAAACGACCUUCUCCAGCGAUGUCCUGCAGCUCCUGGAGGAAGUUGUGGCGACGCAACACGGUCACCAGUCUUUCAUCUGUACACACACACACACACACACACACACACACACACAGAUGAGUACAUCCUGAGAUUACUGGAUGAACUUUUUACCUGUUUAAUAAAACAUUUGUGUUUUAUUAAGAGAGAGAGAGAGAGAGAGAGAGAGAGAGAGAGAGAGAGAGAGAGAGAGAAAGAAAGAGAGAGAGCGAGAGAGAGAGAGAGAGAGAGAGAGAAAGAAAGAGAGAGAGCGAGAGAGAGAGAAAGAAAGAGAGAGAGAAAGAAAAAGAGAGAAGAGAGAGAGAAAGAAAGAAAGAAAGAAAGAAAGAAAGAAAGAGAAAGAGA